UACGGGGGGAGCAAGCGUUGUUCGGAUUUACUGGGCGUAAAGGGCGCGUAGGCGGUCGUGACAAGUCACUUGUGAAAUCUGCCGGGCUUAACUCGGAACGGUCCAAGUGAUACUGUCGGACUAGAGUACAGAAGGGGCAACUGGAAGUUCUCGGUGUAGCGGUGAAAUGCGUAGAUAUCGAGAGGAACACCUGCGGCGAAGGCGG
RNAcentral lists this ribosomal RNA (205 nucleotides) under uncultured bacterium. Its description in RNAcentral is "partial 16S ribosomal RNA". It matches the Rfam family "Bacterial small subunit ribosomal RNA", at positions 524 to 724 of the family's 1533-position model. The record is from RNAcentral.